RNAcentral lists this ribosomal RNA (759 nucleotides) under Escherichia coli. Its description in RNAcentral is "partial 23S ribosomal RNA". It matches the Rfam family "Bacterial large subunit ribosomal RNA", at positions 2190 to 2925 of the family's 2925-position model. The record is from RNAcentral. Lineage: Bacteria; Pseudomonadati; Pseudomonadota; Gammaproteobacteria; Enterobacterales; Enterobacteriaceae.
CCUUGAAAUACCACCCUUUAAUGUUUGAUGUUCUAACGUUGACCCGUGAUCCGGGUUGCGGACAGUGUCUGGUGGGUAGUUUGACUGGGGCGGUCUCCUCCUAAAGAGUAACGGAGGAGCACGAAGGUUGGCUAAUCCUGGUCGGACAUCAGGAGGUUAGUGCAAUGGCAUAAGCCAGCUUGACUGCGAGCGUGACGGCGCGAGCAGGUGCGAAAGCAGGUCAUAGUGAUCCGGUGGUUCUGAAUGGAAGGGCCAUCGCUCAACGGAUAAAAGGUACUCCGGGGAUAACAGGCUGAUACCGCCCAAGAGUUCAUAUCGACGGCGGUGUUUGGCACCUCGAUGUCGGCUCAUCACAUCCUGGGGCUGAAGUAGGUCCCAAGGGUAUGGCUGUUCGCCAUUUAAAGUGGUACGCGAGCUGGGUUUAGAACGUCGUGAGACAGUUCGGUCCCUAUCUGCCGUGGGCGCUGGAGAACUGAGGGGGGCUGCUCCUAGUACGAGAGGACCGGAGUGGACGCAUCACUGGUGUUCGGGUUGUCAUGCCAAUGGCACUGCCCGGUAGCUAAAUGCGGAAGAGAUAAGUGCUGAAAGCAUCUAAGCACGAAACUUGCCCCGAGAUGAGUUCUCCCUGACUCCUUGAGAGUCCUGAAGGAACGUUGAAGACGACGACGUUGAUAGGCCGGGUGUGUAAGCGCAGCGAUGCGUUGAGCUAACCGGUACUAAUGAACCGUGAGGCUUAACCUUACAACGCCGAAGGUGUUU